Molecule: long non-coding RNA, 399 nt
Filed under: Monodelphis domestica (gray short-tailed opossum)
Lineage: Eukaryota; Metazoa; Chordata; Mammalia; Didelphimorphia; Didelphidae
Description: lncRNA (ENSMODG00000049097.1)
Source: RNAcentral
AGUAGACAAAGUAUGCCUAUUAUCUAGGUUUUAAAAUGCAAUUGCUUAUUUUUCAGUAUAUAGAUCUUGAGAAGACAUGACAAAUGGAUGAAUUGGGUCCAGGAGGAAAAAAGAAGACAGGAUUACCUUUGGGAAUGACUGUGAGGGGAUUGACAGAGGAGGGGUACUUUGGGAAAUAUAGAUGAAGAACCUGAAGUCUAAAUGUGAAAAGUGACUUAUCUUGGACCACACAGAUAGGAAAGGGACCUGGUUAGAUACCAUGCCUCAUAAAAGUUGCUUCUGGCAAAUGGAGAGGUUGUGGAGAAAGAAGGUAAAGUUAUCUUUCCAACACCCACUAAGAGAGAGGUGAGUAGCCUCAGGGAAUAGUUGGGCAUUUUCUCAGUGAUGUGGGGGGAAAUU